GUUUGAUCAUGGCUCAGAACGAACGCUGGCGGCAGGCCUAACACAUGCAAGUCGAACGCCCUAGCAAUAGGGAGUGGUGGACGGGUGAGUAACGCGUGGGAACAUGCCCUUUAGUUCGGGAUAACUCAGGGAAACUUGAGCUAAUACCGGAUACUCCCUUAGGGAGAAAGAUUUAUUGCCGAAGGAUUGGCCCGCGUCCGAUUACCUAGUUGGUGAGGUAAUGGCUCACCAAGGCGACGAUCGGUAGCUGGUCUGAGAGGAUGAUCAGCCACUCUGGGACUGAGACACGGCCCAAACUCCUACGGGAGGCAGCAGUGGGGAAUAUUGGACAAUGGGCGCAAGCCUGAUCCAGCCAUGCCGCGAGAGUGAUGAAGGCCCUAGGGUUGUAAAGCUCUUUCGCCAGGGACGAUAAUGACUGUACCUGGAUAAAAAGCCCCGGCUAACUUCGUGCCUGCAGCCGCGGUAAUACGAAGGGGGCUAGCGUUGUUCGGAAUCACUGGGCGUAAAGCGCACGUAGGCGGAUCUUUAAGUCAGGGGUGAAAUCCCGAGGCUCAACCUCGGAACUGCCUUUGAUACUGGAAGUCUCGAGUCCGGGAGAGGUGAGUGGAACUGCGAAUGUAGAGGUGAAAUUCUUAGAUAUUCGCAAGAACACCAGUGGCGAACGCGGCUCACUGGCCCGGUACUGACUCUGAAGUGCUACAGCGUGGGGAGCAAACCCGAUUAGAUACCCUGAUAGUCCACGCCGUAAACGAUAGAUGCUAGCCGUUGAGGGAGCGUGCUCUUCAGUGGCGCACCUAAACGCUGUAAGUACCGCGCCUGGGGGAGUACGAGUCUGCUAGGUUGAAACUCAAAUGAAUUGACG
Molecule: ribosomal RNA, 862 nt
Filed under: uncultured bacterium
Lineage: Bacteria
Description: bacterial SSU rRNA
Rfam family: Bacterial small subunit ribosomal RNA
Source: RNAcentral